GAGUUGCGAACGGGUGAGUAACGCGUAGGUAACCUGCCUGGUAGCGGGGGAUCCUAUUGAAAACGAUAGCUAAUACCGCAUAAUAUUAAUUAUUGAAUGAUAAUUAAAUGAAAGGUGCAAUUGCACCGCUACCUUAUGGACCUGCGUUGUAUUCUCUUUGAAGUGAGGUAACGGCUCACCUAGGCGACGAUACCUAACCGACCUGAGAGGGUGAUCGGCCACCCUGGGACUGAGACACGGCCCAGACUCCUACGGGAGGCAGCAGUAGGGAAUCUUCGUCAAUGGACGAAAGUCUGACCGAGCUCCGCCGCGUGAGUGAACAAGGUUUUCGGAUCGUAAAGCUCUGAUGGACGAGAAGAACGGGUGUGAGAGUGCAAAAUUGACACUGCGACUCUAUCUUACCUUAAAGGGACGGCUAAAUACGUGCCAGCUCCCCCGGUAAUAUCUAAGUCCCGAGCGUGGUCCGGAUUUAUUGGGCGUAAAGCGAGCGCAGGCGGUUAGAUAAGUCUGAAGUUAAAGGCUGUGGCUUAACCAUAGUACGCUUUGGAAACUGUUUAACUUGAGUGCAGAAGGGGAGAGUGGAAUUCCAUGUGUAGCGGUGAAAUGCGUAGAUAUAUGGAGGAACACCGGUGGCGAAAGCGGCUCUCUGGUCUGUAACUGACGCUGAGGCUCGAAAGCGUGGGGAGCGAACAGGAUUAGAUACCCUGGUAGUCCACGCCGUAAACGAUGAGUGCUAGGUGUUAGGCCCUUUCCGGGGCUUAGUGCCGCAGCUAACGCAUUAAGCACUCCGCCUGGGGAGUACGACCGCAAGGUUGAAACUCAAAGGAAUUGACGGGGGCCCGCACAAGCGGUGGAGCAUGUGGUUUAAUUCGAAGCAACGCGAAGAACCUUACCAGGUCUUGACAUCCCGAUGCCCGCUCUAGAGAUAGAGUUUUACUUCGGUACAUCGGUGACAGGUGGUGCAUGGUUGUCGUCAGCUCGUGUCGUGAGAUGUUGGGUUAAGUCCCGCAACGAGCGCAACCCUUAUUGUUAGUUGCCAUCAUUCAGCUGGGCACUCUAGCGAGCCUGCCGGUAAUCAACCGGAGGAAGGUGGGGAUGACGUCAAAUCAUCAUGCCCCUUAUGACCUGGGCUACACACGUGCUACAAUGGCUGGUACAACGAGUCGCAAGUCUCGUGACGAGCAAGCUAAUCUCUUAAAGCCAGUCUCAGUUCGGAUUGUAGCUGCAACUCGCCUACAUGAAGUCGGAAUCGCUAGUAAUCGCGGAUCAGCACGCCGCGGUGAAUACGUUCCCGGGCCUUGUACACACCGCCCGUCACACCACGAGAGUUUGUAACACCCGAAGUCGGUGAGGUAACCCUUUUAGGAGCCAGCUCGCCUAAUGUGGGAUAGAUGAUUGGGG
RNAcentral lists this ribosomal RNA (1401 nucleotides) under uncultured bacterium. RNAcentral describes it as "16S ribosomal RNA". It matches the Rfam family "Bacterial small subunit ribosomal RNA". The record is from RNAcentral.